This 376-nucleotide unclassified non-coding RNA is filed under the name soil metagenome. Its description in RNAcentral is "partial contains 5.8S ribosomal RNA, internal transcribed spacer 2, and large subunit ribosomal RNA". The stretch from base 1 to 120 matches the Rfam family "5.8S ribosomal RNA", at positions 35 to 154 of the family's 154-position model. The record is from RNAcentral.
GAUGAAGAACGCAGCGAAAUGCGAUAAGUAAUGUGAAUUGCAGAAUUCAGUGAAUCAUCGAAUCUUUGAACGCAUCUUGCGCUCCUUGGUAUUCUGAGGAGCAUGCCUGUUUGAGUGUCAUUAAAUUCUCAACUACACUGACUUUGAAUUGGUGUGGCUUGGAUUUGGGGGGAAAAUUGUUGUGGGCUUUUUGUAUAGUCUGCUCCCCUGAAAUUGAUUAGCGGUACCUUUGUGGAACUGUCUACAGGUGUGAUAAUUAUCUACAUCUUAGACAUCUGCUGGAAUGCUCCUUUCUAAACCUUACUUGUAUUGACAAUCUUGACCUCAAAUCAGGUAGGACUACCCGCUGAACUUAAGCAUAUCAAUAAGCGGAGGA